RNAcentral lists this ribosomal RNA (483 nucleotides) under uncultured bacterium. RNAcentral's name for it is "partial 16S ribosomal RNA". It matches the Rfam family "Bacterial small subunit ribosomal RNA", at positions 29 to 506 of the family's 1533-position model. The record is from RNAcentral.
AUUGAACGCUAGCGGGAUGCUUUACACAUGCAAGUCGAACGGCAGCGCGGACUUCGGUCUGGCGGCGAGUGGCGAACGGGUGAGUAAUGUAUCGGAACGUGCCCAGUAGCGGGGGAUAACUACGCGAAAGCGUAGCUAAUACCGCAUACGCCCUACGGGGGAAAGCAGGGGAUCGUAAGACCUUGCACUAUUGGAGCGGCCGAUAUCGGAUUAGCUAGUUGGUGAGGUAACGGCUCACCAAGGCGACGAUCCGUAGCUGGUUUGAGAGGACGACCAGCCACACGGGGACUGAGACACGCCCCAACCCCCCACGGGGGGCAGGAGGGGGGAAUUUGGGAAAAUGGGGGAAACCCUGAUCCACCCACCCCGGGUGGGGGAUGAAGGCCUUCGGGUUGUAAAGCAUUUUUGGGAGGAAAAAAACGUCGCGGGCUAAUACCCCGUGGAACUGAGGGUACCGGCAAAAAAAACACCGGCAAACUACUU